RNAcentral lists this ribosomal RNA (326 nucleotides) under uncultured eukaryote. Its description in RNAcentral is "partial 18S ribosomal RNA". It matches the Rfam family "Eukaryotic small subunit ribosomal RNA", at positions 1470 to 1796 of the family's 1831-position model. The record is from RNAcentral.
CCCUUAGAUGUUCUGGGCCGCACGCGCGCUAUACUGAUGCAUUCAACAAGCCUAGCCUUGACCGAGAGGUCCGGGUAAUCUUUGAAACUGCAUCGUGAUGGGGCUAGAUUAUUGCAAUUAUUAAUCUUCAACGAGGAAUGCCUAGUAAGCGUGAUUCAUCAAAUCGCGUUGAUUACGUCCCUGCCCUUUGUACACACCGCCCGUCGCUCCUACCGAUUGAAUGUGUUGGUGAGGAGCUCGGAUUGGCAGCAGUUGGUGGUUCGCCACCGGCUAUUGCUGAGAAGUCCUCCAAACCGCCCCAUUUAGAGGAAGGAGAAGUCGUAACA